Molecule: ribosomal RNA, 279 nt
Filed under: uncultured bacterium
Lineage: Bacteria
Description: partial 16S ribosomal RNA
Rfam family: Bacterial small subunit ribosomal RNA
Source: RNAcentral
UGCCAGCAGCCGCGGUAAUACGGAGGUCCCAAGCGUUGUUCGGAUUUACUGGGCGUAAAGGGUGCGUAGGUGGCCAGGAAAGUUUGAUGUGAAAGCUCCGAGCUCAACUCGGAAAAUGCAUUGAAUACUACUUGGCUUGAGGAUCGGAGGGGAGACUGGAAUUCUCGGUGUAGCAGUGAAAUGCGUAGAUAUCGAGAGGAACACCAGUGGCGAAGGCGGCUUUCUGGACCGAUACUGACGCUGAGACGCGAAAGCGUGGGGAGCAAACAGGAUUAGAUA